GACGAACGCUGGCGGCGUGCUUAACACAUGCAAGUCGAACGGUAAGGCCCUUCGGGGUACACGAGUGGCGAACGGGUGAGUAACACGUGGGUGAUCUGCCCUGCACUUCGGGAUAAGCCUGGGAAACUGGGUCUAAUACCGGAUAGGACCACUGCCUGCAUGGGUGGUGGUGGAAAGCUUUUGCGGUGUGGGAUGGGCCCGCGGCCUAUCAGCUUGUUGGUGGGGUGAUGGCCUACCAAGGCGACGACGGGUAGCCGGCCUGAGAGGGUGACCGGCCACACUGGGACUGAGGUACGGCCCAGACUCCUACGGGAGGCAGCAGUGGGGAAUAUUGCACAAUGGGCGCAAGCCUGAUGCAGCGACGCCGCGUGAGGGAUGACGGCCUUCGGGUUGUAAACCUCUUUCAGCACCGACGAAGCGCAAGUGACGGUAGGUGCAGAAGAAGGACCGGCCAACUACGUGCCAGCCGCCGCCUAA
This 477-nucleotide ribosomal RNA is filed under the name uncultured bacterium. RNAcentral describes it as "partial 16S ribosomal RNA". It matches the Rfam family "Bacterial small subunit ribosomal RNA", at positions 28 to 522 of the family's 1533-position model. The record is from RNAcentral.